Alligator mississippiensis (American alligator) is the source of this 1818-nucleotide long non-coding RNA. RefSeq lists it as uncharacterized. NCBI's taxonomy places the organism in Eukaryota, Metazoa, Chordata, Crocodylia, Alligatoridae. The transcript has 3 exons. The record is from RefSeq and is a predicted model, not a curated record.
AUACUUUCUUUUCUCUUCUCUGCAGGCUCGGAGUGCAAGGAUGAGGGGGACAAGGGAUGUUCUGCUUGAUAGUUAUGGUCACAGAGAAGACAAGGUCAGCUCCCAGACUACUGCACAAGGCAUCACAGUUUGGGGAGGAGGUAAGCAGCCAACAGUGGUGGUUAGGGACUAUUUAGAAAGGGUGGAUAUAUACAAGUCCAUGGGGCCAAAUGGGAUGCACCCAAGGGUGCUGAGGGAGUUAGCUGAUGUGAUUGCUGAGUUAUUGGCCAUGAUUUUUGAAAACUCAUGGUGAUCAGGAGAGGUCCUGGAUAACUGAAUAGGGGCAAAUAUGAUGACCAUGUUUAAGAAAGGAAGGAGGAUCUGGGGAACUACAGACCUACUCACCUCAGUCCCUGAAAAAAUCAUGGGGCAGGUUCUAAAGGAAUACAUUUACAAGCAUUUUGAGGACAAUGUGAUUAGGAACAGUCAGCCAGCAUGGAUUUAAGAAGGACAAAUCAUGUCUGACUGACCUCAUUGCCUUCGGUGAUGAGAUGAGUGGCUCUGUCGAUGUGGGGAGAGCAGUGGAUGUGAAAUGCCUUGCCAUUAGCAAGUCUUUUGAUACUGUUUCCCGCAACAUUCUGGUGAGCGAGCUAAGGAAGUAUGGGUUGGAUGAAUGCACUGUAAGGUGGAUAUAAAAUGAGCUAAAUCAUUCUGCUUAAAGGUUUGUAAUCAAUGGCUCAAUGUCUAGUUGGCAGCCAGUACCAAGUGGGAUGCCCUUGGGGCGUCAGUCCUGGGGCCUGUUCAAUAUUUUUCAAUAUUUUCAUCAGUGAUCUAGAACAUAAGAUGAAGUGCACCCUCAGCAAGUUUGCAGAUGACACCAUUCUGGGGGACUAGUAGACACACUAGAGAGUAUGGCUAGGAUUCAUAGAGCCAUAGACCAUUUGGAGGAUUGGACCAAAAGAAAUCUCAUGAAGUUCAAUAAGGAAAAGGACAGGCUAAGGGGUGAUCUGGUGGCCACAUAUAAGUUUAUCAGGGGUGCUCAUCAGGAUCUGGGAGAAUGUCUGUUAACCAGAGCACCCCAAGGGAUGACAAACUCAAAUGGUCACAAACUCCUGCAUGACCAUUUCUCACUGAACAUAAGGAAGAACUUCUUUACUGUUGGAGCCCCCAAGGUUUUGAAUAGACUGCCGCCAGAAGUGUUUCAAGCACCUACUUUGAAUGCCUUCAAGUGACAUUUUGAUGUCUAUCUUGCUGGGAUCCUAUGAUCCCUGCUGACUUCCUGCCCCUGGGGCAGGGGGCUGGACCCAAUGAUCUUCCGAGGUCCCUUCUAGCCCUAAUGUCUAUGAAAUCUAUUAAACUACCUAAAGGUGGUUCCAAAGAGGGAGAUAAACUGUUCUCAGUGGUGGUAGAUGACAGAGCAAGGAGUAAUGGUCUCAAGUUGUAGCAAGGGAAGUUUAGAUUGCAUAUUAGGAAAAACCUUCUCACUAGGAGGAUAGUAAAACACUGGAACAGGUUACCCAGAGAGGUUAUCCUUGGAGGUUUUUAAGACCUGGCUAGACAAAUCCUUGGCUGGGAAGAUAUAGUUGGGGAUGGUCCUGCUUUUAGUUGUGGAUUGGACUAGAUGAGCUCCUGACAUCCCUUCCAACAUUAAUUUUCUAAGAUUCUAGUUGCAGAUUUUUAGGUAUAUUCUCAGGAUGCAUAUCCUCUGGGAAGUAAAUCCAGCAUGGACGAAAUAUAGCCAUAACCUGCCUAACAUAUGAUACCCCAGGAAGAGCAGAGACCAACUACAGAUGCUUCCUCAGCCUGACAAAGGGUGUUUGUACCUGAAAGCUUGCAAAG